This 423-nucleotide ribosomal RNA is filed under the name uncultured bacterium. RNAcentral describes it as "bacterial SSU rRNA". It matches the Rfam family "Bacterial small subunit ribosomal RNA", at positions 54 to 479 of the family's 1533-position model. The record is from RNAcentral.
CAUGCAAGUCGAACGCUUCCUGAGUGGCUUGCCAUUCAGGAAGAGUGGCGAACGGGUGAGUAACACGUGGGUAAUCUCCCCCCGAGUGAGGGAUAAGCUUGCGAAAGCGGGUCUAAUACCGCAUGAGGCUUCGGGACGUAAGUCUUCGAAGUUAAAGCCGUAAGGCGCUUGGGGAUGAGCCUGCGUCCUAUUAGCUAGUUGGUAGGGUAAUGGCCUACCAAGGCUGUGAUGGGUAGCCGGCCUGAGAGGGUGAUCGGCCACACUGGAACUGAGACACGGUCCAGACUCCUACGGGAGGCAGCAGUGAGGAAUUUUGCGCAAUGGGCGAAAGCCUGACGCAGCGACGCCGCGUGGAGGAAGACGGCCUUCGGGUUGUAAACUCCUGUCAGAGGUGAAGAAUGCCCGCAAGGGCUAGACGAUAAC